GAUGAACGCCGGCGGCGUGCUUAACACAUGCAAGUCGAACGAACAGACUCCUGGUUUCCGCGGUACUCGAUUGGCGAACGGGUGAGUGUAACGUGUGGAAUCUCCCCUUCACUUCGUGGUAUGCCUGGGGAACUGGGGCUAUUACCGGGGAUGACGAUUGGAUCGAUGCCGUUCUAGAGAGAAUUACGGUUUGGCAGUAACUCACAGCCUGUUCCCCGACGCAUUAGCUAAUUGGUAAGGUAACCGCCUACCAAGGCGACGAUGCGUAGCCGACCUGAGAGGGUGAUCGGCCACACUGGAACUGAGACACGGUCCAGACUCCUACGGGAGGCAGCAGUAGGGAAUCUUCCGCAAUGGGCGAAAGCCUGACGGAGCAACGCCGCGUGAGUGAUGAAGGUCUUCGGAUCGUAAAACUCUGUUAUUAGGGAAGAACAAAUGUGUAAGUAACUAUGCACGUCUUGACGGUACCUAAUCAGAAAGCCACGGCUAACUACGUG
Molecule: ribosomal RNA, 497 nt
Filed under: uncultured bacterium
Lineage: Bacteria
Description: partial 16S ribosomal RNA
Rfam family: Bacterial small subunit ribosomal RNA
Source: RNAcentral